RNAcentral lists this ribosomal RNA (964 nucleotides) under Agelas sp. BZAgtub08. Its description in RNAcentral is "SSU rRNA". It matches the Rfam family "Eukaryotic small subunit ribosomal RNA", at positions 31 to 995 of the family's 1831-position model. Lineage: Eukaryota; Metazoa; Porifera; Demospongiae; Agelasida; Agelasidae. The record is from RNAcentral.
CUGUCUCAAGACUAAGCCAUGCAUGUCUAAGUAUAAACGCUUCUAUACUGUGAAACUGCGAAUGGCUCAUUAAAUCAGUUAUAGUUUAUUUGAUGGUUCCUUACUACUUGGAUAACCGUAGUAAUUCUAGAGCUAAUACAUGCAGAAAGUCCCGACUUCUUGGAAGGGAUGUAUUUAUUAGAUCCAAAACCAGCGCGAGUUUCCUUCGGGGGCUCGGUUGCAUGGUGAUUCAUGAUAACUGCUCGAAUCGCAUGGCCUUGCGCCGGCGAUGAUCCAUUCAAAUUUCUGCCCUAUCAACUUUCGAUGGCAAGGUAGUGGCUUGCCAUGGUGACAACGGGUGACGGAGAAUUAGGGUUCGAUUCCGGAGAGGGAGCCUGAGAAACGGCUACCACAUCCAAGGAAGGCAGCAGGCGCGCAAAUUACCCAAUCCCGACUCGGGGAGGUAGUGACAAUAAAUAACAAUGCUGGGCUAUCGUAGUCUGGCAAUUGGAAUGAGUACAAUCUAAACCCCUUAACGAGGAACAAUUGGAGGGCAAGUCUGGUGCCAGCAGCCGCGGUAAUUCCAGCUCCAAUAGCGUAUAUUAAAGUUGUUGCAGUUAAAAAGCUCGUAGUUGGAUUUCGGGGCAGCCCGGCUGGUCCGUCGCGAGGCGAGUACUGGUCGGCCGCCCUUCCUCUCGAAAGCCCCGACUGCUCUUCACUGCAGUGGUCGGGGAGUUCGGGACGUUUACUUUGAAAAAAUUAGAGUGUUCAAGGCAGGCCAUCGCCUGAAUACAUUAGCAUGGAAUAAUGGAAGAGGACCUCGGUCCUAUUUUGUUGGUUUCUAGGGCCGAAGUAAUGAUUAAGAGGGACAGUUGGGGGCAUUCGUAUUUAAUUGUCAGAGGUGAAAUUCUCGGAUUUAUGAAAGACGAACAACUGCGAAAGCAUUUGCCAAGGAUGUUUCAUUAAUCAAGAACGAAAGUUAGGG